RNAcentral lists this long non-coding RNA (380 nucleotides) under Olea europaea subsp. europaea. The record is from RNAcentral. Lineage: Eukaryota; Viridiplantae; Streptophyta; Magnoliopsida; Lamiales; Oleaceae.
GCUUGACUCCUUUCCAAACAUUCCACUGUGUUCGUCAAUUUUUUUGGGGCUUCCCUCAUGGCGGUCAUUUGAGGGUCCUGCCGUCGUGGAGAACUUGGUGGUGUGUUCGUUUCGUGAGGGUGGGUGUGAGAUGGAUUUCUGGAACUUGAACUAUGACUUAUGGCUCUCGGAUUUUAUGGAGAGAAUGAGACUAUUUUUCACAAUUAGGGCCCUCCUUCUAGCGCCAAACUGUUGACGUCAAAAUUAGUAAGGCUAAUCUUAAGCCAACUUUAAGAUUAAAGGGCGAUUUAUUGUUGAAAAAAGACCACAAAGUAUGUUUAGAGAGUGUAAUUAUGCCUUGAGUUGUUGUGUGAAAUCUAUUUUCUUUUACAAGAGUCCUA